This 253-nucleotide ribosomal RNA is filed under the name uncultured bacterium. RNAcentral's name for it is "partial 16S ribosomal RNA". It matches the Rfam family "Bacterial small subunit ribosomal RNA", at positions 524 to 776 of the family's 1533-position model. The record is from RNAcentral.
UACGGAGGGUGCAAACGUUGCUCGGAAUCAUUGGGCGUAAAGCGCACGUAGGCGGCCUGUUAAGUCGGAUGUGAAAGCCCCGGGCUCAACCCGGGAAGUGCAUUCGAAACUGGCGGGCUUGAAUAUGGAAGAGGGUCGCGGAAUUCCCGGUGUAGAGGUGAAAUUCGUAGAUAUCAGGAGGAACACCGGUGGCGAAGGCGGGUCUCUGGGCCGAUACUGACGCUGAGGAGCGAAAGCGUGGGGAGCGAACAGG